This 417-nucleotide long non-coding RNA is filed under the name Sus scrofa (pig). Its description in RNAcentral is "lncRNA (ENSSSCG00025060371.1)". Lineage: Eukaryota; Metazoa; Chordata; Mammalia; Artiodactyla; Suidae. The record is from RNAcentral.
GGUUGAGGAGAAGGUGAUGUGCUCCGCAGGCUGGAGGCGCGUGGAUGGAGUAGACCGAGGAGCGUGGGUUGGAAUCAAGGAGAGAGGUGUGUUGGUCCGAAUGGCACACACUUGGCAGCUGGGAGAGCAAAAGAGGGACUGAGAAUGUGCCACUGGAUCCUGCAGCUGCUACAGAGAUACCAACUGCAGAGAUUCAAUAUCACCCCUCCUAACACACGGGGACCAUCUUCCCUGCUGGUUGUAUCAAAAAGAGUCUGUGAAGAUGAAGAUGUUUAUAAGUGUAAACCUCUACACAAAAUUGGACUGCAGCUGAUGGCACGCAGCACCAGUCCUUUGGAAGAUGCCUCACUGAAGGGUAUCAGUUAGCUCUUGCUAACUUAGUUUAAAAUAAUAAAUAAUAAAUAUUCAUUCUUUUCA